RNAcentral lists this ribosomal RNA (396 nucleotides) under uncultured Eubacteriales bacterium. RNAcentral's name for it is "bacterial SSU rRNA". It matches the Rfam family "Bacterial small subunit ribosomal RNA", at positions 109 to 507 of the family's 1533-position model. The record is from RNAcentral. Lineage: Bacteria; Bacillati; Bacillota; Clostridia; Eubacteriales.
GGUAACACGUAAAGUACAACCUAGCCUACUUAUAGGGGAAGUAAACAAGUAGAGAAAUACAUUGCUAAUACCGCAUAUGCUCACACGUAUACACAUGAUACAGUGAGGAAGGAAGCAAUCCACUAAUAGAUGGGCUUGCGUCUGAUUAGCUAGUUGGUGGGGUAACGGCCUACCAAGGCGACGAUCAGUAGCCGGACUGAGAGGUUGAACGGCCACAUUGGGACUGAGAUACGGCCCAGACUCCUACGGGAGGCAGCAGUCGGGAAUAUUGCGCAAUGGAGGAAACUCUGACGCAGUGACGCCGCGUAUAGGAAGAAGGUUUUCGGAUUGUAAACUAUUGUCGUUAGGGAAGAUAAAAGACAGUACCUAAGGAGGGAAGCUCCGGCUAACUAUGUG